AUAAUGGAAUUGUAUUCGGUAUGUAUAAUAAACCAAAUUGGUGGUUGAGUCUCUACCCUGUGACCGUAUAAUUGCAGGACUACAUAUGAACUUGUAUCGUUA
This 102-nucleotide non-coding RNA is filed under the name Acinetobacter sp. RNAcentral describes it as "Guanine sequence". It matches the Rfam family "Purine riboswitch aptamer". From Rfam's summary of the family: Riboswitches are metabolite binding domains within certain messenger RNAs that serve as precision sensors for their corresponding targets. Lineage: Bacteria; Pseudomonadati; Pseudomonadota; Gammaproteobacteria; Moraxellales; Moraxellaceae. The record is from RNAcentral.